This 651-nucleotide ribosomal RNA is filed under the name Peziza vesiculosa. RNAcentral describes it as "eukaryotic LSU rRNA". The stretch from base 256 to 409 matches the Rfam family "5.8S ribosomal RNA". The record is from RNAcentral. Lineage: Eukaryota; Fungi; Ascomycota; Pezizomycetes; Pezizales; Pezizaceae.
ACCUGCGGAAGGAUCAUUACUGAAAAGUUCGCAAGAACCGAUCACACACCCCAUUGUCUACCAUUACCAUGUUGCUUCCACUGGACAGGCCGGACCCCUCUUCUUCAAUACUGAAGGCGGGAGGUUCAGCCCUCUGGCCAUUCGACCUUAAAAAUCGAACAGCUGGGGAGUGCCGGUGGAUGGCCCCCUUAAAAAAACUUUUUAAAGAAGCAUUAUACGUCUGAACUACUGUUUUAUAACAAGAAAACAUUAUAAAACUUUCAACAACGGAUCUCUAGGCUCUUGCAUCGAUGAAGAACGCAGUGAAAUGCGAUACGUAAUGUGAAUUGCAGAAUCUCGUGAAUCAUUGAAUCUUUGAACGCACAUUGCGCCUUAUGGUAUUCCAUAAGGCAUGCCUGUCUGAGCGUCAGCUCCCCCCCACUCAAGCACUUUUUUCUAAUCCAAAAUCGUGCUUGGAUUAUUUUGGAUGAGCAGCUGUCAAAGGCUGCUGUCCAUAAAUUCAUUGGCAGUAUGGUUUGUUCUUUCCAGGCUGAGCGUGAUAAAUUUACACUUAUACCGUUCAAUAUUGGAGGCAUUGUACUCGCCCUUAACCCACAAUAUCAAUAACUUAAGUAAAUUUUUGUUAUUUGGGGACCUCAGAUCAGGUAGGGA